CAGUGGCCUCUGCUCUGGGGCAGCAGGGGGGCCUUGCCCUAAGAUUCCUAAGGCCGCCCUCUCAGAGCAGCAAUGGCCGCGGACAAGAAGCCUCCAUUCCUUGCUAUCCACGUGUCCCAGGGCUGUGACAGCUGCCUCCACCAGAGGAGUCCAGAGAAAGCACAGAUGGCGCUCCCCUCUCCUAUGACCUAAUCUCAGAAGUGGCGGCCUCCAGCAGCCAACCACUGGCCCCCAGACUAGCUCUGCUGAAUGUGGAGGGGGCUCACCAAGUCACAACACCAGGAGCCAGGGCCACCAGGCUGCUGGAGACCCUCGACCGCAAACACCUGCCGAUAGAACGGGAGCCCCCUUUCUCCACCCCAAACCCUGCAGCGGCGGGUGCCCUUGCUGGCUCCCUGGGCUCGCCCUGGGGAGGGCUUUGCUCCUGGAUAAACUCCCCGGGCAAUG
Molecule: long non-coding RNA, 447 nt
Organism: Marmota monax (woodchuck)
Lineage: Eukaryota; Metazoa; Chordata; Mammalia; Rodentia; Sciuridae
Exons: 2
Source: RefSeq, a predicted model, not a curated record